CCAGACUCCUACGGGAGGCAGCAGUGGGGAAUAUUGGACAAUGGACCAAGAGUCUGAUCCAGCAAUUCUGUGUGCACGAUGAAGUUUUUCGGAAUGUAAAGUGCUUUCGGUUGGGAAGAAAGAAAUGACGGUACCAACAGAAGAAGUGACGGCUAAAUACGUGCCAGCAGCCGCGGUAAUACGUAUGUCACGAGUGUUAUCCGGAUUUAUUGGGCGUAAAGCGCGUCUAGGUGGUUAUAUAAGUCUGAUGUGAAAAUGCAGGGCUCAACUCUGUAUUGCGUUGGAAACUGUAUAACUAGAGUACUGGAGAGGUAAGCGGAACUACAGGUGUAGAGGUGAAAUUCGUAGAUAUUUGUAGGAAUGCCGAUGGGGAAGCCAGCUUACUGGACAGAUACUGACGCUGAAGCGCGAAAGCGUGGGUAGCAAACAGGAUUAGAUACCCUGGUAGUCCACGCCGUAAACGAUGAUUACUAGGUGUUGGGGGUCGAACCUCAGCGCCCAAGCAAACGCGAUAAGUAAUCCGCCUGGGGAGUACGUACGCAAGUAUGAAACUCAAAGGAAUUGACGGGGGCCCGCACAAG
This 581-nucleotide ribosomal RNA is filed under the name uncultured bacterium. Its description in RNAcentral is "bacterial SSU rRNA". It matches the Rfam family "Bacterial small subunit ribosomal RNA", at positions 331 to 929 of the family's 1533-position model. The record is from RNAcentral.